AUUAAGUCAGCUUUAUUUAGUAAGGUCAGAACCAUUCCUGACCGCUGAGAGCACUCGUUUCAGGUUCUUGAGGCUGGCUGUCUCAGCGGGUGGCAGAGUCCCACAAUGGCUGUCUCUCGCUGAGCAAGGUCUGACAAUGGAUGGUUGCUCAAAGCAUCAGAAACCUUCUGCCAGUGAGGUUUCAUACGCAGGUGAUUGUAAUUUGCAGUGAGUCGACCUUAAAACCAACGGUAGUGAACGUCACCCUGUGGGUCUGUUGGGAGUUAAAUGAGAUGGUGCAGCUAGAUCCGGAAUUCGGCGCUCAGGAGAGCUCAGAGGAUGGCCUUCCUGGUUAGCCGGCAUUCAUCAGGAUGACAGCUCACUGUGCUGUCACUCUUCCUGGGUGGUUUUUUUAUUUCACAUUUUCAUAACAGUCUCUGAUGAUUUCAUUCGAAGGAGGAAGGUCUCUGGGAGUUUCCUGUGUGCACAAUGGGGUCACCAGGUUUCCCUAGGCAUGUACCCAAGGAUGCCACCACCAUAUUUGCUUUGGUAUUUAAAAUAAAGGCCACACUGAAUCUCGUGCUUUCGUUGUAACCAAAGAACACCUGGCUCGACUGUUCUUGCCAAUACAUAAUUACCACAGCACUCAGAGGAAUUCCAGGGACAAAGUGCCCAGGGAUGGGACACACUCCUCUCCUCACUGUCUCAUGGGAGUCAGGGUUAGCAUGACUAGCACGAGUCCCAUGUCCUACCUGGGACAGUGUCACAUAUCUCUGUGGUCCCUAAGUGAUUAUUAAUAGCAAUUUUUUUCUUUUAAU
Molecule: long non-coding RNA, 797 nt
Filed under: Rattus norvegicus (Norway rat)
Lineage: Eukaryota; Metazoa; Chordata; Mammalia; Rodentia; Muridae
Description: long non-coding RNA NONRATT032048
Source: RNAcentral